Non-coding RNA from Phrynosoma platyrhinos (Desert horned lizard), 72 nucleotides. The record is from the annotation of a GenBank genome assembly. Lineage: Eukaryota; Metazoa; Chordata; Lepidosauria; Squamata; Phrynosomatidae.
ACCGGCAUUGUGUAGUGGUUUGGAUGUUGGAUUGUGACUUCAGAGACCAGAGUUCAAUUCCCUGCUUGGCUA